Molecule: ribosomal RNA, 465 nt
Filed under: uncultured Desulfobulbus sp.
Lineage: Bacteria; Pseudomonadati; Thermodesulfobacteriota; Desulfobulbia; Desulfobulbales; Desulfobulbaceae
Description: bacterial SSU rRNA
Rfam family: Bacterial small subunit ribosomal RNA
Source: RNAcentral
CACAAGCGGUGGAGUAUGUUGGUUUAAUUCGAUGCAACGCGAAGAACCUUACCUGGUCUUGACAUCCCGGAGACCCUUAGGAAACUAGGGGGUGCUUCCAUCUGGAAGAAUCUGGAGACAGGUGCUGCAUGGCUGUCGUCAGCUCGUGUCGUGAGAUGUUGGGUUAAGUCCCGCAACGAGCGCAACCCUUGCCUUUAGUUGCCAGCAGUUCGGCUGGGCACUCUAAAGGGACUGCCGGUGUUAAACCGGAGGAAGGUGGGGAUGACGUCAAGUCCUCAUGGCCUUUAUGACCAGGGCUACACACGUACUACAAUGGCCGAUACAAAGGGCAGCGACACUGCGAGGUGAAGCCAAUCCCGUAAAAUCGGUCUCAGUCCGGAUUGGAGUCUGCAACUCGACUCCAUGAAGUUGGAAUCGCUAGUAAUUGUGGAUCAGCAUGCCACGGUGAAUACGUUCCCGGGCCUU